Molecule: ribosomal RNA, 547 nt
Filed under: uncultured bacterium
Lineage: Bacteria
Description: bacterial SSU rRNA
Rfam family: Bacterial small subunit ribosomal RNA
Source: RNAcentral
AAUAGAUACCCUGGUAGUCCACGCCCUAAACGAUGUCGACUAGGUGUUGGGGAAGGAGACUUCCUUAGUACCGCAGCUAACGCGUGAAGUCGACCGCCUGGGGAGUACGGUCGCAAGAUUAAAACUCAAAGGAAUUGACGGGGACCCGCACAAGCGGUGGAUGAUGUGGAUUAAUUCGAUGCAACGCGAAGAACCUUACCUACCCUUGACAUGUACGGAAGUCCGCUGAGAGGUGGGUGUGCCCGAAAGGGAGCCGUAACACAGGUGCUGCAUGGCUGUCGUCAGCUCGUGUCGUGAGAUGUUGGGUUAAGUCCCGCAACGAGCGCAACCCUUGCCAUUAGUUGCCACAUUCAGUUGGGCACUCUAAUGGGACUGCCGGUGACAAACCGGAGGAAAGUGGGGAUGACGUCAAGUCCUCAUGGCCCUUAUGGGUAGGGCCUCACACGUCAUACAAUGGCGCAUACAGAGGGUUGCCAAACCCGGCGAGGGGGGANCCGAAUCCCAGAAAGUGCGUCGUAGUCCGGAUUGGAGUCUGCAACUCGACUCC